RNAcentral lists this long non-coding RNA (846 nucleotides) under Parus major (Great Tit). RNAcentral's name for it is "lncRNA (ENSPMJG00000004834.1)". Lineage: Eukaryota; Metazoa; Chordata; Aves; Passeriformes; Paridae. The record is from RNAcentral.
CGGACACAGGUGGGAUUUUGGGGCUGUUCCCCCGUCCUUUUUCCCACUGGGAAUCUCAUUUAGGAUCAGGGAAAUCAUCCCCAGUGCCGUGGUUUGGGAUCGGAGCUGAAGGAUCCCGACCCCUCCGUCCUGGAUCCUGGAUUCCUGAAGCUGUGGGAUCAGGGAAAACAUAAAAAAAAAAAACCCCCCAAAAAAAGAGGGAAUUUGGGCAAAAAUAAAAGCUGGCAAGAGAUUUUUUUUGGGGGUGGAAAGCCAGGAAUUCAGCUUGGUGACUCGGCAGAAUUCCAGAAUCCCUGAGGUUGGAAAAUCCCUCCAGGAUCACCCAGUCCAAGCUGUGCCUGAUCCCCACCAGACCAAGGUCUGGGAAUUCCGACGGGAAAUUUAGACCCCCCCCCAAAAAAUUGGAUUUUAAAGGAUUUAAAUCCCCCUUUUCCAGUGCUCUGUUCCAUGAGAAACGAGGGGAUGGCACGAAGGAGAAAUAAAUGGAUUUUGUCCUGCGAGAGCAGCCAGGAAUUUGGGAUUUAAACCCGAAAAAAAUGCGGAUUUUCCCUGUCCUUGGUGCUGGAAGUUCAUCCCAAUCCCGCAGCUGCCAGGAUUGAGGAGCAAUUCCCACCUCCAGCAGCUCCCAGGGGUUUUGGGAUCAGGUUUUUACCCCGGCCUGAACCUCCUGAGCUGAGUACACGACGGUGUAUGCCGAGGUGGGGCCUGCCCAGCAGCAGCGCAUCCCGAAAGGAAUUAAAGCCAAGCCAGCGGACGGGGAAUCUUCCAGAAGCGUUUAUGCCCUGGUCAAUCGCCCGGAGCAGGUGAGCUGGGAACAUCCCGGGGCUGGAGCUCCUGGAGUUGGGA